AGGCCAGACUCCUACGGGAGGCAGCAGUGGGGGAUAUUGCACAAUGGGGGGAACCCUGAUGCAGCGACGCCGCGUGGGCGAGGGAGCGCCUCGGCGCGUAAAGCCCUUUCGGCGGGGGAGAACGAUGACGGUACCCGACGAAGAAGCACCGGCUAAAUACGUGCCAGCAGCCGCGGUAAUACGUAGGUGGCGAGCGUUAUCCGGAAUGAUUGGGCGUAAAGGGUGCGCAGGCGGUCCUGCAAGUCUGGAGUGAAACGCAUGAGCUCAACUCAUGCAUGGCUUUGGAAACUGGAGGACUGGAGAGCAGGAGAGGGCGGUGGAACUCCAUGUGUAGCGGUAAAAUGCGUAGAUAUAUGGAAGAACACCAGUGGCGAAGGCGGCCGCCUGGCCUGUUGCUGACGCUGAGGCACGAAAGCGUGGGGAGCAAAUAGGAUUAGAUACCCGGUAC
RNAcentral lists this ribosomal RNA (448 nucleotides) under uncultured bacterium. Its description in RNAcentral is "bacterial SSU rRNA". It matches the Rfam family "Bacterial small subunit ribosomal RNA", at positions 328 to 792 of the family's 1533-position model. The record is from RNAcentral.